RNA transcript from Abrus precatorius (Indian licorice), 664 nucleotides. It is a transcript of the gene named probable gamma-secretase subunit PEN-2, with no coding region annotated. The transcript is spliced from 3 exons. The record is from RefSeq and is a predicted model, not a curated record. Lineage: Eukaryota; Viridiplantae; Streptophyta; Magnoliopsida; Fabales; Fabaceae.
UUUUGUUUACAUUUUUACGCUGAUGGUUAGUUAAAUUGGCGUAGAAGCAUUGAUCCGAGAGGCAGAUCGCAUAGAUGGAGGCAUCAUCAGAGUCACAUAGAAACAAUCCCAACCCUAACCCUAAUCUGAAUUUGCUGUCGUCAUCGGUGCCGGUGUGGCCAACGAUCGAUGGGCCUCUUGGGCUUUCCGAGGAAGACUCAGUGGGCUACGCUCGCAGAUUCUACAAGUUCGGCUUCGCUCUUCUUCCUCUCCUCUGGGCCAUCAAUUGCUUCUACUUCUGGCCCGUUCUUCGCCACUCCCACUCCUUCCCUCGCAUUCGUCCCUAUGUUGUUGGAUCGGCCGUUGGGUUUAUUGUAUUCACGGCACUUCUCUCUUCGUGGGCUCUGACAUUUGCCAUUGGAGGGGAACGUCUCUUCGGCCCUGUUUGGGAUCAAUUGGUUAUGUACAAUCUUGCUGAUAAGUUGGGCUUAACAAGCUGGAGCUAGUUGUGUGCCACUUCUGGGUUUGAUCCUGAUAGAAAUAAUUUGAUCUUUUAUUUACCAGUACAGUUGAUAGAUAAAAAGCAAGGUUUUGGAAGAGUAUAGUUCUCGGUAUCUUUACUACAUUUUUUUCGGGGGGGUUGGGUUGUGUAAGAUACAGAAUAAGAAAUUAAUAAAUAGUUUUU